Molecule: non-coding RNA, 28 nt
Filed under: Rattus norvegicus (Norway rat)
Lineage: Eukaryota; Metazoa; Chordata; Mammalia; Rodentia; Muridae
Source: RNAcentral
UGGUGCUAAAGUGUGACGUCCCCAGCCC